RNAcentral lists this ribosomal RNA (373 nucleotides) under uncultured organism. Its description in RNAcentral is "partial 16S ribosomal RNA". It matches the Rfam family "Bacterial small subunit ribosomal RNA", at positions 527 to 896 of the family's 1533-position model. The record is from RNAcentral.
GUAGGUGGCAAGCGUUGUCCGGAAUUAUUGGGCGUAAAGCGCGCGCAGGCGGUCCUUUAAGUCUGAUGUGAAAGCCCACGGCUCAACCGUGGAGGGUCAUUGGAAACUGGGGGACUUGAGUACAGAAGAGGGAAGCGGAAUUCCAAGUGUAGCGGUGAAAUGCGUAGAGAUUUGGAGGAACACCAGUGGCGAAGGCGGCUUUCUGGUCUGUAACUGACGCUGAGGCGCGAAAGCGUGGGGAGCAAACAGGGAUUAGAUACCCUGGUAGUCCACGCCGUAAACGAUGAGUGCUAAGUGUUAGGGGGGUUUCCGCCCCCUUAGUGCUGCAGCUAACGCAUUAAGCACUCCGCCUGGGGAUACGGCCGCAAGGCUG